GACGAACGCUGGCGGCGUGCUUAACACAUGCAAGUCGAACGGAAAGGCCCUGCUUUUGUGGGGUGCUCGAGUGGCGAACGGGUGAGUAACACGUGAGUAACCUGCCCUUGACUUUGGGAUAACUUCAGGAAACUGGGGCUAAUACCGGAUAGGAGCUCCUGCUGCAUGGUGGGGGUUGGAAAGUUUCGGCGGUUGGGGAUGGACUCGCGGCUUAUCAGCUUGUUGGUGGGGUAGUGGCUUACCAAGGCUUUGACGGGUAGCCGGCCUGAGAGGGUGACCGGCCACAUUGGGACUGAGAUACGGCCCAGACUCCUACGGGAGGCAGCAGUGGGGAAUAUUGAACAAUGGGCGGAAGCCUGAUGCAGCAACGCCGCGUGCGGGAUGACGGCCUUCGGGUUGUAAACCGCUUUCGCCUGUGACGAAGCGUGAGUGACGGUAAUGGGUAAAGAAGCACCGCCUAACUACGUG
RNAcentral lists this ribosomal RNA (468 nucleotides) under uncultured bacterium. Its description in RNAcentral is "partial 16S ribosomal RNA". It matches the Rfam family "Bacterial small subunit ribosomal RNA", at positions 28 to 507 of the family's 1533-position model. The record is from RNAcentral.